GACGAACCGUCCUAACGUUGUUCGGAAUCACUGGGCUUAAAGGGCGCGUAGGCGGGUUCCCAAGUCGGUGGUGAAAUCUUUCGGCCCAACCGGAAAACAGCCGCCGAUACUGGGAGUCUUGAGGGAGGUAGGGGUCGAUGGAACUUCCGGUGGAGCGGUGAAAUGCGUAGAUAUCGUGAGGAACACCAGAGGCGAAGGCGGCUACCUGGACAAUUGCUGACACUCAGGCACGAAAGCGUGGGGAGCAAAAGGG
This 253-nucleotide ribosomal RNA is filed under the name uncultured bacterium. Its description in RNAcentral is "partial 16S ribosomal RNA". It matches the Rfam family "Bacterial small subunit ribosomal RNA", at positions 524 to 776 of the family's 1533-position model. The record is from RNAcentral.